UGAUCCACAGAGCUGAAGAAAAGCAGUAGAGAACUGAGUGGCAGUGGAAGGGUUAAUAAUCCGACAGCACCGAACAGCGCGAGUUUUAACUGCAGUAGGUGUCAAACUAACACUGAAUCAAACAGGCAGGUGAUCCGAGAACACAGUCACAUAUUUCCAGGUUAGUCACAGGCAGACCGCAGGACUAGAGUUGUUUUAGUCCUUUUUCCCGUAUUCUGAGGCAUGCUCUUCACAUGUGUGCUGUCUGAGCAAACUGUGGAGCUUGUAACCCGUCUGUGAGUGACAGAAGUGACAACUUGUGGAGAAAUAGCUGCGAACAUCCUAUGAAUACGAAUGCGACACACUCCAACGUGUGUGAGCUUCGCCAGCUAAGAGAACAGCCAGUUCACGGGAAGAGGAUGACUGAGUGAUUUUGUGAUAAAUUGGAUAGAAAUGCACAGCAGCUGGAUCCAGAUUGACAGCUCCAAGUCAAUGAACACCCAGCGCAAGGCAGUUCUUCAAGCGUGCAGAACUUGGACCCACUGAGGGAAAUAAGGAGAGACGCUGCUGUCAGGCUGCUGUUUGAAGAAUGAACACACAAACAUUAAGAGUAAGACUGAGUGGAGGCGAGGGGGGUUGGUGAUGGUGCUAUUUGGAGAAUCAGCACAGAUGCAUUGACUGACAAUCCCCCGCUAAAUGGUUUUGCAGCAGAAUUAUUGCUUUACAAGCUGUAUUUUCUCCUGUGAGCAGCGUUAUGCUGUUCACUGGAUCGAUUAAUUUCGUAUCUAAUGAUAUCUGUGCGCGCUGAAUGCUCAAAAAGUUGCAGGAUUUCAGAGUUCCCAGAGGAAAAGCUGUAAAUCACAGAGACUUUGAGGAGGAGACCAGAUAACAGAACAUCAUGGGACGACGGAGUUCAUUAAAACAAACAAUUACAAGAACCAUUAAUGAACUUUUCUCUGCAACUAGGAAAAUAAAAAAUCUAAAACA
Molecule: long non-coding RNA, 966 nt
Organism: Poecilia reticulata (guppy)
Lineage: Eukaryota; Metazoa; Chordata; Actinopteri; Cyprinodontiformes; Poeciliidae
Source: RefSeq, a predicted model, not a curated record